Molecule: ribosomal RNA, 187 nt
Filed under: uncultured bacterium
Lineage: Bacteria
Description: partial 16S ribosomal RNA
Rfam family: Bacterial small subunit ribosomal RNA
Source: RNAcentral
UACGGGAGGCAGCAGUGAGGAAUCUUGGACAAUGCACGAAAGUGUGAUCCAGCUAUAUCGCGUGGACGAAGAAGGGUAUUUUGCUUGUAAAGUCCUUUCAGCAAUAAACAUGUUUUUACAUGGAGCCAUAAUGACAGCUCUUGCAGAAGAAGCCCCGGCUAAUUUCUGUGCCAGCAGCCGCGGUAAU